AAAAAUAAAAAAAAAAAAAAAAAAAAAAAAAAAAAAAAAAAAAAAAAAACUUCUAUGGGGCUGUCUGAUCUUGAUGGGGAAGUGGCUCUCGACGAUAUUGAGUGCUCGCUUGGGAGUCGUAUGGUGCUUACUCAUCGGGCAAAGGUUGGAGUAGUGAUUGGUAUUUCAGCGGCCUCUGUUCAGAUCUUGAUCUGCAGUGGGAAACGCAAGCGUGCCAUAAUUGAUGGUGGGAGAGCAUAUGAUCGAUGGUGACAUCAAUUUUUCUGGUGACGAUUUGGUACCAAUGGCUUUGCUGACAAUGGUCUCUAAGGUCUCUCUGAUAAUUCGCAGUUGGAACGUUUGUGGGCUUGGCAUCCGACGAAUGUUCAGUAACAUGAAGUUUUCUUCUUCAAGGCAAUAGGUUGGUAGCAAGUUGGGUGUCGAGAUAGUUCUUAUUAAUUUUGUGUUUUGUUUCGAUGGUGGCGCGUGUUGGUAUUCCUUUGUUUCUGACCUAUUGCAUAUUGUACAACUCUAGCAUUGUGCAAAGGACUAUGUUUACACAAGAGGUUUUCUUUGAUAGAACCUAAGAGACGGUGUGCUCUUUUGAUGGGUUUCGUUUUGCUUAAGUUUGUUGAUUUGUGCUUUGUGCUUGUGGAUUGUUCGUCUUGGUGGUGUUUUGGUUCUGCCAUUGUAUCCUGAACAAAUCUGGCGUUGUACAAAUGACUAUGUUUACAUAGGAGGUCUUCUUUGACAGAAUUUGAGAGGCAUUGGUGUGCCCUAGGGAUGGAAGAAAUCCCCAUCGGGUAUGGUUCCUAUCGAGUUCCCAGCUCUAACGGGAGGAGAUUUCGGGGAAAAAUAGGGGCGAGUAUGGGGAUCCUUGAUUUUUAAAGAGAUAUUUAGUCAUAUAUUCAUUCUUAGCACUAAUAAUAUAGAUAAAUUCUACACCAUUUAAAUUACUUCGAUGCCCUAUUGAGUGUUUUGAGUUUUUUAUUUAUGAGGUUUUGGGGUUGGGUUUUUUAAGAAAUCAAUGACAGUUUUGUAAUUUAAAAGAAGUUAAAAGCCUUUUGUUAUAUUGUAAAUGAGCUUUUGGUGUGUUUCUAAAGUUCAUUUUAUAUAGGAUUUUUAUUAUUAUUUAUAAUUUGAGCUCCUGUAUUGGGUAUAAUAGUAAAUCUUCAUUUUAAAAAAUACCCAAUCGGAGACGGGGUGGAGAUGGUAUUGUUAUCCCCAUCCCCGAACUCGGCUCAAUAAGUGAUGUAUUUGGUUUUAAUUAAUAAAUAUGUUAUAUAAUAUAAUAUAACAAUUAAAAAAUUAGCCUAACCUUUGUAAGAUGAUGAAACUUUGGAAUGUCUCUUCUUCUGACCUAAAAAAAUUCCACCAAAUACUUCCUUGGUAUAUGGUACAACACAAUCCCAAAUACACCAAUAGUAUGGGUUGCUAACUAAGAAUCCCCACUUGAUUAUCUGGGUGUUUUCAUGCUCGGCUAUGAUGGACAUUUUGGUGUGUUAGAUGGUAGUUAUCUGGUCAUCAAAUGCAUUAUGCAUGAGUAUCUGCUUCUGCAAUGAAUGCCAUAACAAUUAAAAGUUAUCAUAAGCUUUGUAGAAUGGUGAAACUCUGUCAAAUUAAAUUGAGAUGAUUUUGAAUAGUUAAGUGAAAUUUUAUAAUUCAAUUGAAUAAUAGUUUAAGGUGAAAUUUAAGUGUUAUAACAUGAAUACUUUUUUUUAAAAUUGUUUUAAAAAACUAGGGAUUCGGGCUGUGUUUGGGAUACCAACCCCCGACGGGGACGGGGACGGGGAUUCUUCGAAAAUUCAAACCGGGGAUAGGGGCAACAGGUAUGGGGAGCGGAGAUGGACAUGGUAUUGCUAUACCCGACCUUUAAUCGGCCGUUCCAUCCCUAGUGUGGUCCUUUGAUGGGUUCAUUUUGCUUCAGUUUGUUUCUUUGGUUUUUGUUUUUGCGGAUUGUUCGUUUUUGAUGUUCUUUUGGUUAUGUCCAUUGCAUGCUGACCAAUUCUCGCGCUACAAAUGACUAUGUUUGCAUAGGAGACCUUCUUUGACAUAACUAGAGAGGCGUUGGUAUGCUUUUUUGAUGGGUUUUCUUAAUUUGUGUUUGUUGGUGGGGUAGUUUUGUUUUAAGAGGUGACUAAACUAUUUUUUUGUUUUUGUCUAGACUCUCUUGUUAGUCUUCUAGUCUACUGCAUGUGUAGUACUCUUUCCUCACUUGGGAGUUUUCCCAUGUGACUUUCAUGAGAAGGUUUUAAUAAAGCCACUGUUAACACAUCGGCCCUUGUGUAAUGUUCUUGGGUUGUUAAUGGAAUUUCUCUUCCUCUCACAAAAAAAGAAAACAAAAAGGAGAAACCAAACUUACUCGCUAACAUAUACACAUCUUCCCCACUGAUUAAUUGGUGGUGGGUUAAUUUCAGCUCUGAAAUCUGCCCAAAAGACAUUUUCUGUUGUAAAAUAACUAUAGUGGAGCCCACCUCAAUAGGAGAUGCUUGCCUAUAAGUAAGGCAUCUCCCCUACAAUGAAGUUACACAGAAAUCAGAUUCAAGGAAGAGAGAAAUUUCUCUCUCUCUCUCUCAAUUCUCUCCUCAAAUUUCUCUUUAGUUUAUAACACGUUAUCAGCACGAUUAUCUCUAAAAUACCAGCUGAAUUAUCUGAUUUUUCUUUUUGCUUCUGGUUUCAGAUCUGGGAAUCUCAAUGAACAACAUCAGCUUGCAAGGAACAGUCCCGAGGUGCUCGAUCUGAGUACUGGACAGAUCUCUCUUCUGUCGACACCAAUGGCUUCUCUCACACAAGCUUCUACUGCUUUUUCAACCUCAAAAUUCGGCCUGCUGCAAAAACCACUGUAUGGUUUCCGCAUCAGAUUUGUGGCCCAAUUCUCUGGUCAAUUAAUAAAUAAAUAAAUAAAUUCUUGAUGCACACAGAGCAGACAUCCGUAUCCUCCUUCCCCUGCCUUCAACCUUUUUUUUUGUGUCUGUCUUUGUUUGAGCUUCUCUUGGGCGCCAACUGGAAAUCUUUGAUUUCAGCACGCGACCAAGUCUCAAUUCUCAGACCCUUCCCUACCCCCCAUCAUUCUUCCAUGGCCCAGGCCUCAUUCGACGCAUUGUUCUUCAUUCUUCGUCUUCUACAUCAACACAAUCCCAAACUUUCAAUUUCGGCUCCGAAGAUCCCCAGCCUUGGACGUCCUCUUAGAUCGGAUCGCCGGACUUGGACUGAAUUUGACAAAACGGCAGUCGUUUCAUGACUGGCUUCACGAACUAUCUCCACCACGCCUUCGCCGCUGGAGCUCCCUGCCGCCAGCAUAGUCGAUGAGCUGUCAGGCACAGGCUCCGCCGGAGCCCGAGCAGGAGCAAGUUGCUGGCAGAAAAGGCAGAGGGACCAUAGAGAAAGGACAGCAGCGCCACCACAUGGCUUCGAUGACGUCCCACAAAAAUCCAGUUCUUAGAUCUCGCAGCAUCGGUCGGCUUGGUGGGCCGCGUCGAUCUGGUUCAGCAGCCGCUUCUCCUCCACCUGUCAAGUUUCCUGUUCGGCCAAACCAGAGACUCUGAACAAGGUGUGUGACAUAGUGAAGAAGCAGUUGGCUUUACCCGAAGACACAGCUGUGACCCCAGGCUUCAAAGUUUGCUGAACUUGGCGCUGAUUCUCUAGACACAAGAUGAACAAGCCGAUUUGAAGAAGCUUAUGAGCUCGUACCUUGGUCUGAGUUUUGGGCAGAUGGGAAGACCGACGUCACCAAGCGAUGAUGAUGUUCCAAACUCUCCAUCUUGGGGAAGAUCUCUCUCCACUGUAAACAGAUCGAAGGGUUAAGAGUUCAUGACCCAUCAAAGAAUCGAAACUGGGGUUUUUAUAAAUGUUUGUUGGCUGAGAAAGUAGGAGAAUAUAUUUUCUCUCAGAUCUCUGUAAGAAGAGUUGAACUCGUGGGAUGCUUGAGAAAAUUGCAGAGGUGGUGCCUGACAUCUGUUUUUGAUGAAUAUCAGCGGUUUGCAGCUGCGAAAGCUAGAGUUGCAGAUACAAAUGAUGACAGUGGCGACAGUAGAAAAUAUGCUGUCGGGCACGCAUGAUUACAGCCCCACCCACCGAAACAUUAAAAAUAAUAAUCAUAAUAAUAAUAAUAAAUAAAUAAAUAAUAAAAAAGAAAAAAAAAGGGGAUCACUCAGCAAGGGCAUAAGCGAUAAGUUUUCUGCUCCCUUAUCUUCUCUAUUUUUUCCUAUUAUAUUUAUCUGCUUUUCUUUUACUAACCAUUAACAAAAAUGGACCCUCGGUAAUACUAAACAUAUUAUCAGUGGGAAACCGUUACAAUUAGUGCCCAUACAAGCACGUUUAAUUUACUGAAAAUUUACUUUACCGCACAUUUAUUUUAUUUACUGUAUGGUGUAGGAUUAUUACCCAUACGACAGUACUUAUUUAAAAGGGUGGUGCGGGUUUAUCGCCCACGCCUUUAAUUUUAUUGUAUGGAGCAGAAUUAGUGCCCAUACACGCACGUUUAAUUUAUGAAUUUAAAUUACCGCACAGUUACAUUUAUUUAAAAGGGUGGUGCGGGUUUAUCGUCCACGCCUUUACUUAUUUAAAAGGGUGGUGCGGGUUUAUCGCCCACGCCUUUAAUUUUAUUGUAUGGAGCAGAAUUAGUGCCCAUACACGCGCUGUAUGAUGAGUUUUUACAGUAAGCAGAUCAGGACCAGAAGUUCCUUGAUCCUCAUCAUACAAUUACAUCAGGACUGGCAGAUCCUUGAUGAUGAUGUUAAUAUGAGAGCUGGCAGUCUUUCCGGUACUGUAUUUGUAAACAUGUGAUCGGACUUGAGGGUCCUUGAUCCCUGACAUGUAAAUAAGGACCUGGAGUUCCUUAAUGAUGUAACAGUACCGUAUUGGUUCAUAAUGCCGUACACAUGGAUGAUAACUGUACUGGCAAAUGUACUGGAACCCGCAGUUCCUUAAACUCAUGGAUGAGCAAUUAAAUGAGAUGCCAGAAGUUCCUCAAAAUAUGAACAAUUAUGUAAGGGCUUGAAGUCCAGAAAUAUGUACAAGAAAAUUGUAAAAAUGUCCAUACCAUGAGAAUAUGUGAUUUUGGCCCGAAGUUCAAAAUCUAAGGGGAUUAAAUGUCCAUACCAUGAGAAUAUGUGAUUUCGGCCUGAAGUUCAAAAUCUAAGGGGAUUGAAUGUCCAUACCCUGAGAAUAUGUGAUUUUGGCCUGAAGUUCAAAAUCUAACAGUGUUGAGAACCUGAAGUUCCAACAAUUAAAUGGACAACCCUUGAGGUAUUAUUGCAAAUUGUGGUACGCCACAUAUCUCUUUGGCAUAAGAGAAUGAUGAAUUGAGGCUCCCCACAUAUUUUGUUAUAUCUGGGCCGGAAGCUCAUGAACCCAAAUAUAUGAGAUAUUAGCGUGGCUUUUACUCAAUUCAUAUUUCAUGUCCAUUUUGAAAAGGGCAAAUAAAUUCUGAGUUUGUGUUUAGCCCAUGCCAAAAGUUCCGGGCUCCCAAAUGUUGAAAUAUGAAAUUUGGGAGAGUCGAUGUGGUUAUUUGAACCUAUAAGGCACAAGGUUCCAAACCGUCAUUUUGAAAAGACGUAAAAACCACAGGUGCAAAUUUUAAGAAUGUGCGCAAUUAUUAUAACAGGAAAGGAGCAAGUUGAAACGCAGUUGCUCCAAUCAAGUUUUGCAAAAACAAUAUCUAUAGGAGGAAAUAUGGCUACAAUUUUUUCAGAAUCCCAAUAUCUUUUCGGAUCCCCAUAUUUUCUUUCCCAGAUUCCAAAACUUCACGUGGCCUCCAUUUAAUGUUUGUCGGCACUUUCGGCGUUUUCAAAGUAUUAUUUUCAUCAAAAGCCGAUCUUGCUUUGCGGAUUUCACGGAGUUACUUUUUCAAAAGUAUCCCGAGAAUCUCGCAAUUUUCUAUGAUUAAUUUGAAAUUCACCGGUUCUACCUAUUCAUUGUAUUUGUGUAUAAAUGUGUUACUAACGAAAUUUUCUUUGUAGAAGACAUCCAGUUUUCUCCAUACCUAGUUAUGCGAUAUCUACUUGUUUUCUUAUCAGUAAGCACGCAGUGAUGCGAUAUCUACUUGUUUUUCUUGUCAGUGAGCACUUAAUAUGCCUAAGAAGCAAGACUAUCUCUGAUCAUCCACUCAGGAAGCGAGACUAUCCCUGAUCACGUUUCCGCCACAUCCGGGAACUGUGAAGGCGACCUUAUGCUCUAAUCUCCUAAGGUCCUUCUAGACUAGGAGAAAUGAGAGUUUGUUGUUUGCUCCCACCAGCUUCCUUCCCUGAUUGCUUACCUUUUAUUUUUGCAUUUUUUUCUCUUUCUGUAACUCUCUGAGGAUUAUUUAUUUUUGACAGAGAAAAGAGUUGUGAUUUUACUCUUGCAGGAUAUAACUAGAUCAUCAAGCGUUACAUUUACUGGGCGGAUACAAGCUUGAAUGAUACUUGAGAAAAGUUUCUCACACCUAAGGAUGUAAGCAAUAUUUGUGCUAUUUUAUACCUAUAUACUUGUCUGAUAUUUUAUCUUGAAAGGUAACCAAAUGGGAAGAUAAGUCCGUUCCAAAAGAAUGGCUUGUAUGUAUCCAUGAAUUAUUAAAUGCAAAUUUUACAGAUUGCAAGUUGGAUACAUUGAUAAUACACUGCCACAGAUUAAAGUCCCAUAAGAACAGAAUAUGGGUAUAGCAGUGAUCAAUAUGAUGCGCGCCUGUUGCGUAGCAAAUGAUAUGGAUUGAAGUCCCGAAUGGACAAUCCUUUAACAUGUCAAUAUUAAUAUUAUACACGCCUGUUGCGUAGCAAAUAAUAUGGAUUGAAGUCCCGAAAGGACAAUCCUUUAAACAUGUCAAUAUUGAUAUUAUGCACGCCUAAUGCGCAGCAAAUUAUAUGGGUUAAAGUCCCAUAAUAUGGGUUAAAGUCCCAGAAAUUAAUUGACAUGUAUGUAUUAAUCUGUGGCAUACCUGCAGCAUGACAGAUAUAUGGGUGCACGCCUGUUGCGUAGCAAAUAAUAUGGAUUGAAGUCCCGAAAGGACAAUCCGUUGACAUGUCAAUAUUGAUAUUAUGCACGCCUAAUGCGUAGCAAAUUAUAUGGGUUAAAGUCCCAUAAUAUGGGUUAAAGUCCCAGAAAUUAAUUGACAUGUAUGUAUUAAUCUGUGGCAUGUCUGCAGCAUGACAGAUAUAUGGGUUCUAAAUGUUCCAACUCCCUAAAUGGAGAUUUUCCACGCCCUACGUAAAAUAACGCUUCAUUGGAGGUUAUAAUCCACAUUCUCACAUAAUAAAAGCCCCAUGAAGUGGCUUGGGUACCCAAAAGCAAAGCAAUGCUUAUAAUUGAUGCAUGCGCAUGCACAUGAGAAUGGUGGGAUCAUGAAUUGAUGAAUGACAAUUUUUGGUUUUGGAGUAGCUACUCAAAUCAUCAAUGGGCUGUGUUGAUUGGAACCACGUUCAAUUAUUAAAUGUCGACAAUAUCAUUGGCCAAAAUGGAACGAGGUAAUUCCAUUAUAGAUGAGAAUGAACGUGAAAGAACAAACCCACAAUACGAACCCCAAAAUUUGUUAAUAUUGAAAGUUAUACUUGGGUGUUCGGAAUAAAAGGGAAUAUACCUACUUUGUAUGACACAUUGUUUCUAGCAGAAACAAGGAAUGUUGGGUUUUCUCCAUAUUUACAGAUUCAAUUGUGCCCCCCCUUAUUACACAAUUACGGAGACCAACAUAUUAUCUUUAAGGGUUAUUAAAUGCACAGAGCAUAUUGCCAGAAGCGAUUCCCUAAAGAUGUAUAAAUAGCUGGGUUAAAGCUAUAUAAUGUGCCAUAAAGCUUAAUCCCUUUUAGACAAAAUCCGUUGAGAGGAUUGAUAUUGCAUAAAGCAAGUCCCUAAAGGACAUGUGCUUGAAGCACAAAAUUUGUACUCAAUAUUAAUAUGCAUAAAUUACCUCAGUGAGUACAUUGAUGUGAUUGCAACACAUUAAAGAUUCUGCAGAAUUCAUGAAAUAUUUGUCUCGAUCGAGCAUUAUACCAACGAGAUUCUUGCUUAUACUAAGAAAGUAUUGAAGCAUUUUUAUGAGGAUUAUCCGUUGGACACUUUAAUGAUUUUCCAAAAGUAUACUAGACCAGAUAGAGCUCAGCUCACACUGUACUCUUUUUCCUUUAUCCAGGUUUUUAUCCCAUUGGGUUUUUCCUGGUAAGGUUUUAACGAGGCAGUGCAGCUCAAGGGUUUAGGGUAUACUAUGAAAAUUUUUAUGGUCGCUUACUGGACAAAAGCUAGUCCUAAAUUUUUCAGGGGGAGAUAUUCAUCAAGGGGAGCAUGGUUUUGAUAAAGACCUUCAUACACUGUACUCUUUUUCCUUCAUCCAGGUUUUUAUCCCACUGGGUUUUUCCUGGUAAGGUUUUAACGAGGCAGUGUCACUCAAGAUUGACUCACAGAAGCAGUGCCAACUACGAUAUUCAGAAAGCUGAUCAACAGUAUGACUUAAAGAUAUUUUGCCAAGCAUCAGGGGGAGCGCACCAUCAAUAAAGAUCUUCAAACACCGUACUCUUUUUCCUUCGUCUGGAUUUUUAUCCCAUUGGGUUUUUCCUGGCAAGGUUUUAACGAGACAGUGUCGCACGCGCAUCAAUAUAUAUAGAAUUUUAUGUUACACAUUAUUAUGUACUCUUUUUCCCUUUGACCAGUUUUUGUCCCCCUGGGUUUUUACUGGCAAGGUUUUUAACGAGACAUAUUCUGUAUCAUUUGUGGUCUCCAAGGGGGAGUGUUGUAAAAUAACUAUAGUGGAGCCCACCUCAAUAGGAGAUGCUUGCCUAUAAGUAAGGCAUCUCCCCUACAAUGAAGUUACACAGAAAUCAGAUUCAAGGAAGAGAGAAAUUUCUCUCUCUCUCUCUCAAUUCUCUCCUCAAAUUUCUCUUUAGUUUAUA
Molecule: long non-coding RNA, 8834 nt
Filed under: Prunus persica (peach)
Lineage: Eukaryota; Viridiplantae; Streptophyta; Magnoliopsida; Rosales; Rosaceae
Description: long non-coding RNA (PPER_LNC005370)
Source: RNAcentral